AGCACCACAACAGGUGGAGCCUGCGGUUUAAUCGGACUCAACGCCGGGAAACUCACCAGAUAAGACAGCUGAAUGAUAGUCGGGCUGAAGACUCUACUUGACUAGCUGAGAGGAGGUGCAUGGCCGUCGUCAGUUCGUACUGUGAAGCAUCCUGUUAAGUCAGGCAACGAGCGAGACCCACGCCAACAGUUGCCAGCUCGUCCUCCGGGAUGGUGGGGACACUGUUGGGACCGUCUCUGCUAAAGAGGAGGAAGGAAUGGGCAACGGUAGGUCAGCAUGCCCCGAAUUAUCUGGGCUACACGCGGGCUACAAUGGGUGGGACAAUGGGUAUCGACACCGAAAGGUGAAGGCAAUCUCCUAAACCCAUCCGUAGUUCGGAUUGUGGGCUGCAACUCGCCCACAUGAAGCUGGAAUCUGUAGUAAUCGUGUCUCAAAAUGGCACGGUGAAUAUGUCCCUGCUCCUU
RNAcentral lists this ribosomal RNA (464 nucleotides) under uncultured Methanomicrobiales archaeon. RNAcentral's name for it is "bacterial SSU rRNA". It matches the Rfam family "Archaeal small subunit ribosomal RNA", at positions 875 to 1338 of the family's 1478-position model. Lineage: Archaea; Methanobacteriati; Methanobacteriota; Methanomicrobia; Methanomicrobiales. The record is from RNAcentral.